UGGGAAUAUUGCACAAUGGGGCGCAAGCCUGAUGCAGCAACGCCGCGUGGAGGAAGACGGUUUUCGGAUUGUAAACUCCUGUUCUUAGUGAAGAAAAAUGACGGUACCCGAGGAGGAAGCCACGGCUAACUACGUGCCAGCAGCCGCGGUAAUACGUAGGUGGCAAGCGUUGUCCGGAAUUACUGGGUGUAAAGGGAGAGUAGGCGGGAUUGCAAGUCCGUUGUUAAAUCUAUCGGCUUAACCGGUAGCUGCGGCGGAAACUGUAGUUCUUGAGUGAAGUAGAGGCAGGCGGAAUUCCUAGUGUAGCGGUGAAAUGCGUAGAUAUUAGGAGGAACACCAGUGGCGAAGGCGGCCUGCUGGGCUUUAACUGACGCUGAGGCUCGAAAGUGUGGGGAGCAAACAGGAUUAGAUACCCUGGUAGU
This 422-nucleotide ribosomal RNA is filed under the name uncultured Eubacterium sp. RNAcentral describes it as "bacterial SSU rRNA". It matches the Rfam family "Bacterial small subunit ribosomal RNA", at positions 356 to 794 of the family's 1533-position model. The record is from RNAcentral. Lineage: Bacteria; Bacillati; Bacillota; Clostridia; Eubacteriales; Eubacteriaceae.